This 492-nucleotide ribosomal RNA is filed under the name uncultured bacterium. RNAcentral's name for it is "partial 16S ribosomal RNA". It matches the Rfam family "Bacterial small subunit ribosomal RNA", at positions 29 to 507 of the family's 1533-position model. The record is from RNAcentral.
AGUGAACGCUGGCGGUAGGCCUAACACAUGCAAGUCGAACGGCAGCACAGUAAGAGCUUGCUCUUACGGGUGUCGAGUGGCGGACGGUUGAGGAAUACAUCGGAAUCUACUUUUUCGUGGGGGAUAACGUAGGGAAACUUACGCUAAUACCGCAUACGACCUACGGGUGAAAGCAGGGGAUCUUCGGACCUUGCGCGAUUGAAUGAGCCGAUGUCGGAUUAGCUAGUUGGCGGGGUAAAGGCCCACCAAGGCGACGAUCCGUAGCUGGUCUGAGAGGAUGAACAGACACACUGGAACUGAGAACCGGUCCAGACUCCUACGGGAGGAAGCAGUGGGGAAUAUUGGACAAUGGGCGAAAGCCUGAUCCAGCAAUACCGCGUGGGUGAAGAAGGCCUUCGGGUUGUAAAGCCAUUUUGUUGGGAAAGAAAAGCAGCAGGUUAAUACCCCGCGGUUCUGACGGUACCCAAAGAAUAAGCACCGGCUAACUUCGUG